UAGGGAAUCUUCCGCAAUGUACGCAAGUCUGACGGAGCAACGCCGCGUGAGUGAAGAAGGAUUUCGGUUCGUAAAACUCUGUUGUUAGAGAAGAACAGCGCAUAGAGUAACUGUUAUGCGUGUGACGGUAUCUAACCAGAAAGCCACGGCUAACUACGUGCCAGCAGCCGCGGUAAUACGUAGGUGGCAAGCGUUGUCCGGAUUUAUUGGGCGUAAAGUGAGCGCAGGCGGUCAAUUAAGUCUGAUGUGAAAGCCCCCGGCUCAACCGGGGAGGGUCAUUGGAAACGGGUUGACUUGAGUGCAGAAGAGGAGAGUGGAAUUCCAUGUGUAGCGGUGAAAUGCGUAGAUAUGUGGAGGAACAACAGUGGCGAAGGCGACUCUAUGGGCUGUCACUGACGCUGAGGCUCGAAAGCGUGGGUAGCAAACAGG
Molecule: ribosomal RNA, 429 nt
Filed under: Bacteroidota bacterium
Lineage: Bacteria; Pseudomonadati; Bacteroidota
Description: Bacteroidetes bacterium partial 16S ribosomal RNA
Rfam family: Bacterial small subunit ribosomal RNA
Source: RNAcentral